AUUGAACGCUGGCGGCAGGCCUAACACAUGCAAGUCGAGCGGAUGAAGGGAGCUUGCUCCUGGAUUCAGCGGCGGACGGGUGAGUAAUGCCUAGGAAUCUGCCUGGUAGUGGGGAUAACGUCCGGAAACGGGCGCUAAUAACGCAUACGUCCUGAGGGAGAAAGUGGGGGAUCUUCGGACCCCACGCUAUCAGAUGAGCCUAGGUCGGAUUAGCUAGUUGGGGGGGUAAAGGCCUACCAAGGCGACGAUCCGUAACUGGUCUGAGAGGAUGAUCAGUCACACUGGAACUGAGACACGGUCCAGACUCCUACGGGAGGCAGCAGUGGGGAAUAUUGGACAAUGGGCGAAAGCCUGAUCCAGCCAUGUCGCGUGUGUGAAGAAGGUCUUCGGAUUGUAAAGCACUUUAAGUUGGGAGGAAGGGCAGUAAGUUAAUACCUUGCUGUUUUGACGUUACCAACAGAAUAAGCACCGGCUAACUUCGUG
RNAcentral lists this ribosomal RNA (483 nucleotides) under uncultured bacterium. RNAcentral describes it as "partial 16S ribosomal RNA". It matches the Rfam family "Bacterial small subunit ribosomal RNA", at positions 30 to 507 of the family's 1533-position model. The record is from RNAcentral.